UACUAUGUCGAACGGAAAAAUGGUGCGCCGUUAGGAAAACUUUACCAUAAAUAUCGCAAUUGGAAAAACAAUCUCAACCGGAAAUCGGCCGGUGAAAAGAGCACGAAGUCCGUAGAUGGAAAUCCAGCUAAAAAUUAUCCGAUUGGAGAAGACGAGGAAUUACACAUCCGUGCUCUGAAGCAUGAAAUGGCUACCAUGAGCUACGAGGAAAAAAUAGCUCAUUGGGUUGGAUGCGCUGCGACGCGGCUUAACGCUUUACGACAACAAGAGAACUCUUUGAAGCACGUAUUUGACGUUUGGUCACAAUACAAAAAUCCUGAUGGUUAUCGAAUGAUCGAAUCUGAUUUUGUGCACCUAUACGGCCAAAAAAAUGAGUUACUCGAUUCAUUGGAAAAGUUUGUGGACCUAAUGGUAGAAGAAAUUUUCCCCAAACAUCAUUCAUCAAUUAAGACGGCAGAAGAUAAAGAUUUGUUGAAAACACUAAAUGAUAAAAAAAGCAAUCUAUUAAAAAAUACUUCAGCCGCCAUAGUGUUCCGUCUAAUGCAAACGAUUUUGCCGUACUCCAGGAUCAGGAAUCAGCAACCAAUUGAGGCCAAACGACGAUUUUAUAGCGUUAAAGAGUCACAAGAGGCGUUCAUUAUGGUUUGCGCCACAGAAACUGAAUACAAACAGAAAUAUGAUGAGAAAGUUAAAAAAGAAUCCUCUAUACCGCCGUAUAUGACGGUCAUAGGAACGUUGGAAAAUUGUUCAUAUAUAAUGGUAGACUUCGAAAACAUAACCUACAAAUUUUAUAGCCUCGCGAAGGCUAUCGAUGUUAGCUUUAAAGCUUACCAUCUUUUUAAUUUUGCGUAUUCAGAAAGAUGUGAGCCCAUGUGGGAUUUUAUCAACAGAACGUUCUACCAUAUUAAGUAUAAUGGGGCCAAAACCAAACCGCCCACCUAUUUGUUGCUAAAUGAAAUAAAAGCUGCCAAAACUAAACAGAGCACCGUAAGCUGUGAUCAGUCUUCGGUAGCAUAAAUUUAACUUCGCUUAUACAGAACAGUACGAUCCUAUGUGCGAUUUGGUCAACUGAGAGUUCUAGGAGAUAGAAUAUUUCGGAACCUUCGCGAAACCAUCUUAACAUCCAACAUCAUUUUCAACAACAUAAAAAAACAUCAUAAAAGCACCGUGAAUCUUCGAUGCGUAAGCGUAAGCGAAUGGAAAGUUACUCUUUAGAUAAUUCCAGUGAGGGUCGAUGGAAAACCGGUUUUCCCAUACCAGUUAUUAUAAGUAAAUCUCUAGAUUUAAAUGUAAACAGAAUAUCUAUUUAACAUCCACAUGUUCAAAGAAA
Ochlerotatus camptorhynchus is the source of this 1330-nucleotide long non-coding RNA. RefSeq lists it as uncharacterized. The transcript has 4 exons. The record is from RefSeq and is a predicted model, not a curated record. NCBI's taxonomy places the organism in Eukaryota, Metazoa, Arthropoda, Insecta, Diptera, Culicidae.